GAGAUCCCAUCAGUGCAGCCCUUCAGGGUCCAGGAAGGUGGUAGGUACGCCUCCGGCUUCUCUUCAAACACAGGGCAGAGUGAGAAGAAAGAAGAUGGGCCAUGUACUUUUGCGUCAUUAAGUUCCUUGGAGGAACCAGCAAGGCUGGGCGGGCGGCGGAGGAGUGGAGGGGCUGAGGGGCAUAUAUGACACAACACACCGCAGGAAGCACAAGUUAAAGGUGACGGACGGUGGCAGCCAAAACCUGGGGAUCUUGGGCAAGGCACUGAGUGGAGAGCGCAUGCCCUUGCUUGGAAGAAGCCUGGCUCCGAGCCCACGUUUGAGGGCAGGACCCUGCGGUCCCGGGCGUUUGCACAUCCCGCGUGAGCAAACUAAGAAAACGGGACGCGCAAGGCGUGCGGCGGGAACUUGGCUCGUCUUUCCUAACGCACGUGGCAUCUCGCGACGUGGAGUUAAAGCGCGCGGCCGCCGCCCGAGACGCGAGCGCUAGGACCCCGCGCGCCGCGCGCACUUCCUCCCGCCGCGGUCCGAGCCGCCCGCGCGGGGCCCGCGGCUCCCGCCCUCCGGCCGGCGCCGCCCUACCUGGCGAAGCAGUACUCGCAGUGGUUGCCCCUCUCGUUGACCUGAUUUUUUUUCCUGUCUCAUUGAGAAAGAUUUCCAACAGCUGAGAAAACCAUAGCAUAGCUACCGAGUUGUCUUCCCAGAGUUGAAGAACUGAUACUGAAGCCUCAACACAUCUGUUCACAGUCAUGACUGACAAGGAGCAGAGCCAAUCUGAUCCUGGCCCCGGCUGCUCUUGUCUCCUCCCAAGAUGAUCAGAGAAGUUGAAGUUGCUCUUUGGAUAUUCAAGUAACACUGAGAAUUUGGGUUCAAGGAAGUUAAACAGACUCUAAUGUGUUUCUAUGGAAAAAUGAAAAUUCCUGUGGCCAGGAUUCUCACCUGUCCCUGGUUGGCUAGCUCACUACACAGGUGUGGGCAAUACUUCAUUAUUGACUCUAUAUAAAAGAGCUCUGCGGGCGACACAGUUGUAUGGCUGCAAGGCUGCAGGAGAGCAGAGGCUGGAGUGGUGGCAGCACCGAGGACAGAGGCCCAGAGGACAGCUGUGUGGGCAGAGGGGCCCAGAGGCAGAGACCAGCUUGCUGUAUGCAGACUGGCUCUGAGUGAAUGAGAUUUGAGUGACUGACCUGCCACUAUGGAAACGAACUUGAGUAUAACCCUUUCACCCCAAGAACGUUCUACUGUCAUUUACUUGGACACGCCAAGUCCAUAGUGAACUUGCCUGGGGCUGAAACCCAUUGGCAAGACAAUGGGCAACAGUCGGCAGGGUUCAUUGGUGACAAAAGAACAGGUUUCCCUCAUGGGAGGAGUGUUUCAGCUGGCUGCACCUGUGGGUGGGGAGGCACUUGAAUGUCCCCCUGGACAUGUGGUACUGGGAAGGGGUGGAGGGCUGGGAUCCACCCCAAGAGAAAGCUGCCUGAAAUGGCGUCACUAUGAAGUGCUGUGGUCCGAGAAGAAGCAGCACGAGAAGCAGCAUCACACAGGCUGCCAGGUGCUGUGGGGCAGGUGGGGGAUGCAGUGGAGCCGUCAGCCCCAGAAAUGAAGGAGCGGAGGUCUGACGAACAAGUGGGGUGGAGGCCCUGCCAGUGCCGGAGGCAUCGGCCCCACCUCGGUGGAGACCCUGCCUGGUUGAAAGCUGGUGGAAAGCCAGAAGGACUCAGCAACCAUGGGUUCUUCCAGGAGAGGUGCAGCCCCCUCCUCAGGCUGUGGAGCCCUCCAUGCUCUGCUUCUACGCUCAGGCUCAAGCACAAAAGGAAAUACAGUCUGCUUCUCGAAGGAAGAAUUUAAAGGGUCCUGUGAAGGCCGCGAGAACCCAGAUGUGGGUUGGUUUGAAAAGGCAGGAGCAGACAGAAAGAAAUUGGACUUGAUCUGUGGCAGUUAAGACCGGAGCAGCGGUUCUGGCUGCUGAGGAUGAAGCAGAAGGCAGAGAUAAAGCAACAAGAUCGGCCUGUGUGUCUGCAAGACUUUCUGCUGGAGAGGCUGGAGAAGGUGGGUAUUGUCAGGCCCACCCUUAGUCCUUUUGGUUAACUCCUUGGAGUAGAAUUGGUUUGAAUACAGCCAGGAUGACCACUUGGUGGCAGUGGAUCUCCUCAGGCUUGAGGGUUAUUAUAAUUUUUUAGAACUGGUUUGAAUAUGCAAUGGAUCUCCUCAGGUUUGAGGGUUAUCAUAAUUUGUUGUAAUUUUUGUUAUUUGUAUAUUGUCGUAGCCUCUGUUGUUCUGGAAUUUGGUCACAAUGCUUCUGCUUUCUCGCACAAGGACCAUUGUAGAGGAUUGAGGGCACAUAGAUUGAGAGGAGAGAAUCCUGGAGGGGUGCGGUAUGGAUAAAAUGAAAGUUCCUAUGGCCAGGAUUCUCACCUGGCCCUGGUUGGCUAGCUCACUACACAGGUGUGGGCAAUACGUUGUUAUUGACUCUAUAAAGAGCUCUUCCCAGUGCUCUGGGCGACACAGUAGCAUGGCUGCAGGAGAGCAGAGCAGAGGCUGGAGUGGUGGCAGUGCCGAGAACAGAGGCCCAGAGGCAGAGACCGGCUUGCUGCAUGCAGACUGGCUCUGAGUGGAUGGGAUUUUAGUAAUUGACCUGCCACUAUGGAAAUAAAGGACUGAAAAUAUCUCAGGAAUUAUGUAGAGGAAGACAUGUUUUAGGCAUUUCAGAAGAACACAUCUUUGAUCUAAAUGGCCAGAUUAACUUCCAGAGACCUGGGAUCAUAAUAAUUCACUUAAAGGUCCCCCCCAGCCACUGUUACUUUAGUUCUGGUUUUAUCACAUUGGGAUUUUGCCUAUAUCAGUUUUUUCCAGGAGGUGAUAAAUGAAAACCUUAAAAAAAGAAAUCCUGUGAGUAAGUUUCUUUGCCCUUACAUUUGAACUGAAUAAUAAAGAAACGGUAAAUUCUUUCUGAGCUGAGCUAGAAAUGCUACCAUAUAGAAAUCUUAAUAAUAUACUCUGUGCAUGCCAUUUAAAAACAGAAGAACUUGGUCGCCCAAGGUCAUUUCAGAUGCCUUUUUUUCUAAGCGAUUUGUGUAUAUUUUAUCCAUAAAAGACAAAUUAUUAUGAAAGGACAUGAAAUAUAGGUUUAAGAAACCUAAAGAACAAAGUGCAUUCUUUGCUCUUUGAAUUUCUUAAUAUUAAGUUCUUAAGACUCCUGCGGCUUACCUUCAAACAAGCAACCUUGAAACUACUCCACAAGACCUGGUUAAAGGACAAACCAAAGAGUUUUCACUUAUUAAAAAAAAAAAUAGCACACGGGAGGGAGAACGUUCAAGUCUUCCAGUAUCCAUACUUAUUAACUGAAUUGAAUGCCUGUGGUGAGUCUCCUGGGAGCACACGGUAGCAGCCUCUUUAUAUUACAGCUCAGCCAGAAGCAUUUAUUCCCUUGUAAUUAAGGCCAAGGGCGCAACCAGUGAUGCGAAUGGAAGCAAUUAUGUGGAUUAUUCAGUUCCCUCAGCGUUUCUCAGGAGUUUAUAUGUUUGUGGCUUUGCUUGUUUGAAAUUCCUGCAUAUCCCUGGAUUCUCUGGGUCCUUGAGGUCCAGCCUCGGAUUAUAACAAUAGCUAAUACUUACACAGCACUUACUAUAUGCAGUGACUGUCUGGGUGUCUUUAGAUAUAAUAUCCUUUCGAAACUCUGCAGGGGUUAAGCAUGAAGUGCAAAGACCCCUGAGAUGAGGUUCAAAUGCAAGGAGUUCGUCCCUGAAGUGGUCCUAGGAGUGGCUUGUAUGCACUGGGAAAGCAGGAAAGAAAGGAAGUUGGGCAGAGGAAGGGUGCUUCUCAGGCCCCAGGCCCUUGGGGGCAGCCUCAGCCAGUGCCGCAGGGCACUAUGGGGUGUAGGCUAGGAAAGGCAGUGUAGCUCCUGUCUUGCUGCACAGUUACUGCUUAACAACCAAAGGGUAGCCAGGAAGGCGUGUGUGAUGUGGUGAUGGUGGUGGGGAAUCUAUGAAGGAGAAGAGGUGCUUGCUGAAGGGGGUGGGACAGAAACCUACGUUGGCUGGUACAGAAGCCCUCCGAGAAUCAUGGAUCCUAAUGGCCUCCAACUGAGUUUUGCUCAGUUCGCCUCCACAAAUGUUGAUAACUCAGCUGGCCUUGCUGUUGCUGUGUCCCCUGUUCAGUGCUUGCUUGUACAUGAGAUAGUGUGGAGGAAACACGGAGAAGAGCUCUGGAAUGUUUUCUGUAGUUCAAGGGACUUAUAGAGAUCUACUUCCAGUGUACUUGUUUUGCACCUCACAUCUACAGAUGGCUUUGAGAGCAUCCACUCUGGGCAUGGUCCUGGAUUGUUCCCCGUGGGAGGAGUAUGAAAGGUGAAUGGCAGUGAUUUUAAGGAAGUCCUUGUGAAAUCAAACGAUGGAAGGCUGACACAACGGAUCCAUGUGAGUGGACAGUCACAAACACGUACAAUAUCUGAAUGGACUGAGCUCUUUCAGGGAGAGUCCUCCAAGAUUUGGUUGAAAUUUUAUCCCAAUCUGCUUCCCCCCAGUUGUGCCCUCCCUUGACUCUUGUACUUGAGUGUAGUGCUGUGAGUUUGUAUUUUACUUGCAGGGAAUGCCCUUCUUAGGGAAUGGGCUGCCUUGUGCCACAAGUGUGGGCUUUUCUUCCCAGAGCCUUUGUUGUCAUGAAUGGUUCAGUAAAACUGAUGUUACUGUGAAUUGUGUUAUUUCCUCUGCAUGACCCUUCUGAAAUACUGCUUUUAGCGACUACUCUCAUACCAUUUCAUUGCUCAAGAAAGCACUUGUGAUUUUGGUUAAGUUUCCAAACUUAAAGAUGGUCAUUAUGUUUCCAUCACUUUAUACAUUUAGUUGUAGACCAAAAAAUACAGUGCUGCAGGUCAGCAUGAUACCUUUGGUCAGCUGCCUGAAGUCCUGGCUAACCCUGGGAGCUCUGCAGCUGCAGGAGUAUGAAGCAAGGGAAUUCCCCUGAAGGCAAGAUGAAGCCCAUCUGGCCUUCCUCUGUCCCGUACCUGGCCCAGUGCCUUGCACAUAGUAGAUGCUCAAUAAAUAUUUGUACAAUGAAAGAGAGCAAAGAGCAAAUGCAAUGUAAUAAUUCUCUCACAGUCUUUAAAAAUAUUCCUCUGUGCAGCAGCUUCUGACAUAGAUGGUAUUUAACAGACACCCAUUGUACAAGGCUUUGUGUUUCAAAUUUGUUAAUUGAUUCAAUCCUCAUUACCAUCCUGUGAGCUGGCUUACAAAUUCAAAUCUAGCAGUUAGAAUUUUCUCAGCAGACUUGAGUAGAAUAUGUUUGUCCCAAACUUCUAGUCUAGUAUCAGAUUUCAUCUAUGAAAACUCAGGCCUGGUUGGGGCAAAAAUUCCUUGGUAGCUUGACUUCAGCUUCCUGGAUACUCAGCACAUUUCCCUCUUGCAGUUUAACAUCAGCGGCAGUUCUCUGAUAGUCUGAGAAGUGUCUGGCUUCUCUGGUUUCCAUGUACUAUAUUUCAAAGUUAAGAACAUAUAUAUAUUGUAAAAGUAGUAUGUUUUGCAAAACAUUCAACCAACGUAGAAGCAUAUUUAAAUAAAGACAUAAAAUG
This is a long non-coding RNA of Manis pentadactyla (Chinese pangolin), 5563 nucleotides long. RefSeq lists it as uncharacterized. The transcript is spliced from 7 exons. Lineage: Eukaryota; Metazoa; Chordata; Mammalia; Pholidota; Manidae. The record is from RefSeq and is a predicted model, not a curated record.